Long non-coding RNA from Chenopodium quinoa (quinoa), 1079 nucleotides. RefSeq lists it as uncharacterized. NCBI's taxonomy places the organism in Eukaryota, Viridiplantae, Streptophyta, Magnoliopsida, Caryophyllales, Amaranthaceae. The record is from RefSeq and is a predicted model, not a curated record. The transcript is spliced from 3 exons.
UUCUCUUGAAAAAUAAAACCGCCGCUUCUCAACAAGAAACCCCUACUCUUAUAAGUCUUAUCAUUCUAAUCUUGACAUCUUCUCUUUUUCUUUUUAAAUCCUUCAAAAAUGCAUAGAAAAUCAUGGAGUUUGGUCUCAGAUUUACUUUUUCCUGGUGUAUUACGAUGCAGUGUUGUUCUUAUUUAUCGUCUUUUCAAUUUCGUUUCUUGUUCAGAUCGAUAAUUCCGAGAUUGUAGGUGAAAGUAUGGCUAUCUCUCAUACCAUGGUCCUUGGGCCCAUGGUCAACUUUUCCCCUGUGGUUAUAGUGGCUUUGGGGAGUGCUAGACUGCUGGUCAUCAUGACUUGGUGGGUUUGAGUAAAAUAGAAUAUACCCAAUGGAUCAGAUCAGGUAUGAAUUUGUCUUUGCCUACAAUUUUUCCACCAAUUGCCUUACUAAUAUUAAAGAUUUCCGCCAAGUUUUAUGUUUAAAGUCUAUUUCAUGCUCUCAAUAUAAUAUAUAUCUCAAGCCUAACCUUGUCUAUCUCAUAAAUUUAUAGAUCUUCGGGGGUCAUAAGUUUAUUCAUCAGGUUUAUUAUAGAUCAGGCUGACCUCUCCAUUUGUAGAAUCAGAGAUUUUUUGUCACUUCAGGUUUUUAUUCUUUCAGCUUUCAAUUUGCAUCAAUUUUUCCCCUUCUUUUAGCAGUUUUGAUUUUAUUUAUUGGUUAUGAAUUACAUAGUAUUAAUUUUUAGUAAUACUUCAACGAAAAUGAGAGAGGGAUCCUUCAAAUCAAACUCCCUUUUAAGUUCUCUUUAGUUUGGAUUUCAGGACUGGUGAACCCAGAAGAGAUUAAGCAUGAAUUAAACUAUGCUAUUGGCUUGAGAUUGGAAAAGGAAAUGUAGGUGCAACAAGAUAAUAGGCCGGGACACUUGAGCAUCAAAACAAGCGACUAUAUCAUCUACAAGGCCAUCAUCUAUCUAUUUUGGCUUUUAGGCUUAUAUUAGAGAUGUAUUUAUUUAGGGACAAGCUACUAUGAUAUGCAACUUUUUUUUUUUUUUUUACUUAAUUGUGUUGAUGUUUUCUUUUAUAAAUUUGGUAAUUAA